This is a long non-coding RNA of Peromyscus californicus insignis, 4639 nucleotides long. RefSeq lists it as uncharacterized. The record is from RefSeq and is a predicted model, not a curated record. The transcript is spliced from 4 exons. Lineage: Eukaryota; Metazoa; Chordata; Mammalia; Rodentia; Cricetidae.
UCGGUGAAAAUACAGCAGAAGACAUCACUGUAAAGAGAGUUCCUAAGGGGUGUCUUCCUGACCAUAAAGGCGCUGUUGUAAAGAGUGUGUACUUUCUGAUCGGGACCACUUCUGUGUCAGCAAGAGGUGACUGACUGAGGCAGAGAAUCCUCAAGUUCAAGGCCAGCAAAACUCUCAAAGAUACCAGAGAUGGGGGCGGGGGGAAGAUGACCUACCAAGUAUCUACUGUUUUGUUUUUUACAUAAGCCAAUCUUUUACUAUAGUUGAAAGAAAUGAAAGAAGAAAGUAUUUUUAAAGCUUAAGACAGAAAUUAAAAAACAAAAGAAAUUCUCAAAGUGAUAAUUCACUUAUAUCUGUUUAAACAGAUCAAAUCUUCCAAAAAUCUUUAUUUAUUCUCUUUUUUACUCUAGUUUGUUUCUGGAAACUUCCUUCCAUUAUAUAAUCCUACACUACUCUUUUCUUCUCCAUUAGAUGUGUGAUCUGGACCAAGAUUAGGAGAUAAUGUUGGAGCUAGAGAAGGAGAGUGAAGCGGGGCCUCUAUAAAGGGUACAGAUAAAGACACACCAGUCUCUGGCCAGAGAGAGGUGUUAGGCUUUGGAAAGAAAACUGCUUUUAGGGUUUUGCCAGUUUGUUUUGUUCCUUUUAAUGUGCUUUCUCAAUAGACUCUUGAAAUGCUAACCUUGACUGUGCUGAAACAGAGAGAAAAGGGAUUUUCCCACACUGCUAGACUAGCUCUUGGUUUAUCAUCGGAUGAGGGAAGGCAGCAGGUAUCACCAGGUGCAGCAUGGGAGGUGAAAGGGGCCUCCUGGGAAGAGGCACAGGGAAGCUGACACUGACUGGGGCAGGUGUAGAAACAGCGCUCUCACCCCUGGGUCUUCUUCAAACCCAGUAAGAUUUCCUCAAGUAGUGUCUGCUUUUAUUCUUGCCCAACUCAAGUUACAGAAUUACUUCAUCCUGCGCAUCACUGGAGGCGGCUGCGUUCUGACAGGAUGAGGUGCCUAGCCGCGUUAGCAGCGUCCCCCCGGCAGUUCAGUUUACCCAGCAUGCUCGACGUUUCCAGGUUCUCUGCAAACCCAGUUUAAUUUUAGAGAGUGGGACCGUGGUGGGGGCUGUCUGCUUCUCUCCUGGGCGGUCUUUUUUCUUUCCUGGAUGCUUUCUAAUUUGUCUUCCCUCGAUACGAGUCCACUUGCAUAAUUCUAUUUGCACAGUAGAUUUUUAGUGUUGUUGAAAUACGAAUAUACUUUCAUCAUUUGUAUAAUCAGAUUGCUUUUCAAGGCCUGUUAAUAAUAGCAAUAAAACAACAACAACAAGAGAAUAGAUGACUGUCUCCUUCCUCCCCCGUCUUCCCAUUUCUGAAAGUAUGUUCACUUUUUAAAGGAUUUGUCCUCAUGUUUCCGAGAAGCACACCGUUUGCUUUUUCAGCCUUCAGACAUUUUUAGAUUGCACAUUAUAAGGAAGGCAAGGGUUUAGUUUCCUUUUUCUCUGUCUAGUGUCUUUCCACUUACAUUUUCUACAUAAACAAUGUAGACAAAAUCAUUUUUAUGUAAAAGCCGCUUAGAACUUGAGUCAUGUGGGAAAUACAAUUUUCUGUACUUUAUUUCACCACACAAUUGGCUUCACGUAAUUUCCUUAAUUUGGGUUUCCAUAGAUGCCUGUGUUAUUAUUCUUAUCCACCCGAAACUCAGUUUCUCCAUUCUCUAGUGUUCUCAAACUAAGCUUUUCCGUGUUGUUCAUCUUACCAAGCCUCUUACUCAUGUUCGUUCCCUAUUCCUUCCUCUUCUUCAUUCCAACGUUGAGUAAGGUUCCGGCCUUCAAGUACAGAGGGGUGAGCACCACCAGAGUGCGGAGAAUGGGCCUCAUCUCGAGAUUUCCCAGCUAUAGUGUCUCCCGUCCAUUACAGGCAAGAACCUGAAGCCAUGUGCUAGGAGAAAUCUCCCAGGCCUACCCCUCGGUGAAGGACUACAGGCAGUGAAUGGCUGCGGAGCCGGGAGAAUCAGUCUUCGCCUGGGAUAACCCCCUGGGUUGUUUUUGCGAAGUCCUGUGCAUUCCCGAGAGCAGUCACUAGAGGGCUCCCUGGGACACCUUUUGGAGCUGCCCCCUAGAGGUGGAGCUGGGAAAGGAAAGGCAAAACCGAAGGAGCCUCGGAGCCGAUUGGAAGCACAGAAGUGUUUGACCACUCAGCUUAGAGGCUAGGAAACCCAGCUGUCGUGAGCUGCUGCUACUGUGUGACCUGUCUCUCUAGAGGCGGGCAUGCGUGGCUGGCGUUUCUGUGAACAGCAUCUACUGCUGCUCGACAUGUGUCAGACAGGAGCAGUACACCGCGUGCCACCUCCUCCUUCGGCUCCUUCCUCUUGCAGAAGUUCACAGCCUUUCAUACCUUUUAUGUAACGCGCUGACAAAUGGAUAAUGUAAGCCGUUGAGACAGAGGCGUCCCAAAUAUGCUGACCAAGGCCAAGAGUCAGAGCAAACAGAAGUCGAAGCAUUUGUGUGAAGUGAUGACAGACAGAUCUAAUUCUUGAGGCAUCGGUGUGGCUCCACCUUAGACUAGAAACAAGGUAGGGGCUGCUGACUAGUACUCAGGUCACUGUGGGCAGCAGAUGGCUGCAACCUUCUGGUGCUUCCGGGUCACGCCUCUUCACUAGUUCACUGCUGAUGUCCACACCACGGUCCUCCCUCACUUCAAGGGCACUUCCAGUCAUACCAUGUGCCUGUCGGCCCUCUCCCUUCCCUCUAUCCUCUUAGAUGACAGAAAGCAAACUUUCACCAGCUGCCAGGCAAAGCUGAACCGUGUCUCCCACAAUGAAGAGUGACAAAAAUACAAACUUUUCACAUUAGGCAGGCAGAGGUGGUAUUGGACAGUGAACUGGAUUUCAUCCUAAAAAAAAAAUACGCAGCAGAAUUCUAUGAAGCUGCUGACAAUACUUUCACAUGGUGGGUUUUAAAAAAUAGCUGUGUUUCAGAUACAAAGAGUCCCUCAGUGGAGAAGGGGAUAUUUCUGAUAAAUGCACAGGUAUUGAUAAGACUAACAUAUGGCCAAGUUCAGUCUCAACACAGAUGCAAAAACUCUUCUACAACAUUCACUUUUGCCUGAAUUCUGUAUCAUUCCUUCUGAAACGAUAGCUGCUCACUUGUCUCUCACAGAAAGGCUUUCAGACAAAAUUCCAGACUUGCUGAGAUGUCAUACCACUGAACACGUCCAGACCUUUUAUCUUGUCAUGUUUCUCUAAAUACUAUCUACAGCUCUUCACACAGCGUUUCAACACAUUGGGUGUUAUGCCAUCUAGAAUCAAUCCGAAGUGAACAGGACGGUGGACUAGGUCACCCACCAAUACUGCACCAUUGGAAACUUCUUCCACAGUCUGGUAUUGUGAGGGUUCCUAGAACCAACCCCCCGAGGGCACUAGGAAAUGAUUGUCCAGCUCUGAAAUGACCACAAAUACUUUCAUCAUUUAGUAUAAAGUUGAAGUACCUAGCAUGCUCAAGGUGGCACCCAUCAUUUUCACUGACGUAGUUAGGUAUAUUCAAAAGCCACAGGUGUUACCCAGGGGCAGCAGAGAGGGACAGAGAGGUGAUGGGAAGGGGACAGGAAGAACAGACCCAAAAGGUGUGGGCAGGUAGAAUGUGGCAAAGGCCAGAGGGUACAAUAGGGGAGCGUUGGGCUUCUUCCAAGGUCAGGACGCACCUACGGUGAAGAAGGGGCUAGGUGGAAGGUGACCUGGAGCUGCGGGUAGAGGUCAACUGUCCAACAUGAGGGUCAUUUUGAAGCUUCAAGCUGGCUUCCUCCCUGAUAAAUAUCAAGAGAAAGUACACAGUUCACCUUUCUUCUUUAUCCCCUGACUUUGUAUUCCAGUGUUUGGCACUUUCCCCAAGUCCCCCACACCUUUCCUCUUCAAUAGAUUUUGUUACUCAGAUCUGUGGUACCAUCUCUCAAGACUCAUUAGGUAGCUUGAUAUUAUUUUUACGUGCAGACAAGGAGAAAAAAACUUCCCAGUUUUCAAAUUAUUUUAUUUAUUAUCACACAUUGAGUAGUGUACUUUAGAAUUCUGGGGUCCUUGGGGAUGGGAAUGAAAGUCACAGCCUUGCUAUUGUUAUUAAGACUAUUUUACAUCACUAUUGGGUAGCAGUGCAGCUUUCUUUACAUGUGAAGAGGAAACAGGAAAGUUCCAUAUUGCAAGAACCUGUCUGAGAUACUGGAAAUGCUAUACCAGGAUGUCAAAAGGCACAGGUAGGGUAUUUUAAACAUAGGGAUGCCCCCACCUCUCAAAAUACAAAAUCAUGUUAUUUUAGCCAUAGUGCUGGUUCCCUACAAUGGAUUUUCUUUUUAAUGUAGAACCACUAAUAUAUAUAUAUGAAAAUAAAAUUUACCAAAGUUUUGACUGGUAAAUUACAGGUUGUAUUGACUCACUGUCUCUAACACUAAUGGAAUAAGGGAAGCUAAAUGCUGUUUUCCCAUUGGCUGGGUUGACUGGUCUUCAACAGCUGUGAGAAGACCAGUGUGGUAAACAGGAAACCAUCUCCAUGGCAACGGGCAAUUCAACUUAACUUUUUAACACAUGAAGAGGUAAUUACUUUAUUUUUUAGUUCCAUUUUUAAAAUGUUCGGAGUUCACGAUAGCAGUGAGGACCUGUGGGUCAGGCAU